CGUGUGGUCCCUCCCUUGUUCGGCCGAUCAGAAGCGUGGUCGGUGCGGUGGUGGCCGAUGACAAGAGGGGCUGCGAUGGUGCAGCUCAGAAGAAGUCAGACCGACAGUCAGUAGUGACCACCGGCACCGAAAAACCAAAGAAAAGAGGGUGGAAACAGGAGACUUUUCUCCAACAAAAUUCGACGAACCCGAUCGCCGGCGAUCGUGCACACAGGCAAGGAAAGGAAGGGGG
RNAcentral lists this long non-coding RNA (232 nucleotides) under Elaeis guineensis (African oil palm). RNAcentral describes it as "long non-coding RNA (EGUI_LNC066177)". Lineage: Eukaryota; Viridiplantae; Streptophyta; Magnoliopsida; Arecales; Arecaceae. The record is from RNAcentral.